AAUAGAUACCCGGGUAGUCCACGCCGUAAACGAUGAGUGCUAAGUGUUAGGGGGUUUCCGCCCCUUAGUGCUGCAGCUAACGCAUUAAGCACUCCGCCUGGGGAGUACGGUCGCAAGACUGAAACUCAAAGGAAUUGACGGGGGCCCGCACAAGCGGUGGAGCAUGUGGUUUAAUUCGAAGCAACGCGAAGAACCUUACCAGGUCUUGACAUCCCGUUGACCACUGUAGAGAUAUAGUUUCCCCUUCGGGGGCAACGGUGACAGGUGGUGCAUGGUUGUCGUCAGCUCGUGUCGUGAGAUGUUGGGUUAAGUCCCGCAACGAGCGCAACCCUUGAUCUUAGUUGCCAUCAUUUAGUUGGGCACUCUAAGGUGACUGCCGGUGACAAACCGGAGGAAGGUGGGGAUGACGUCAAAUCAUCAUGCCCCUUAUGACCUGGGCUACACACGUGCUACAAUGGACGAUACAAACGGUUGCCAACUCGCGAGAGGGAGCUAGUCCGAUAAAGUCGUUCUCAGUUCGGAUUGUAGG
RNAcentral lists this ribosomal RNA (529 nucleotides) under uncultured bacterium. Its description in RNAcentral is "bacterial SSU rRNA". It matches the Rfam family "Bacterial small subunit ribosomal RNA", at positions 777 to 1304 of the family's 1533-position model. The record is from RNAcentral.